Molecule: non-coding RNA, 25 nt
Filed under: Cricetulus griseus (Chinese hamster)
Lineage: Eukaryota; Metazoa; Chordata; Mammalia; Rodentia; Cricetidae
Source: RNAcentral
GCCAAUGGAACUGAGAAUUGAAAAU